Molecule: ribosomal RNA, 390 nt
Filed under: uncultured bacterium
Lineage: Bacteria
Description: bacterial SSU rRNA
Rfam family: Bacterial small subunit ribosomal RNA
Source: RNAcentral
AUUGAACGCUGGCGGCAUGCCUUACACAUGCAAGUCGAACGGCAGCACGGGACCUUGCUCCUGGUGGCGAGUGGCGAACGGGUGAGUAAUACAUCGGAACGUACCCUGAAGUGGGGAGUAACGUAGCGAAAGUUACGCUAAUACCGCAUAUUCUGUGAGCAGGAAAGAGGGGGAGUCGCAAGACCUCUUGCUUUAGGAGCGGCCGAUGUCGGAUUAGCUAGUUGGUGAGGUAAAGGCUCACCAAGGCGACGAUCCGUAGCUGGUCUGAGAGGACGACCAGCCACACUGGAACUGAGACACGGUCCAGACUCCUACGGGAGGGCAGCAGUGGGGAAUUUUGGACAAUGGGCGCAAGCCUGAUCCAGCCAUUCCGCGUGAGUGAAGAAGGCC